Molecule: non-coding RNA, 1333 nt
Organism: Meleagris gallopavo (turkey)
Lineage: Eukaryota; Metazoa; Chordata; Aves; Galliformes; Phasianidae
Source: RefSeq, a predicted model, not a curated record
AUGGACUGUGUUAACCAUGGGUGGUGCUGCCCUGAGAGAUAGGUGCAGGGAGUAGUGGCUCUACUUAAGGCAGUAUCUGCUAACCCCUCUUGGAUCAUGAAUGGAGUGGGGAUGGAUGGGAGGGAGGGAGAGUUGUGUUGAGGUGGUGCCAUUGGUUGUGGUCUUCAGGAGUGUUGUGUCUGUGCUGGUGGCCCUGAAAAAGCCUUCUUGACUAGAAAGAAGAAAGGUAAAGUGCGCUGGAGGCAAGCAAAGGGCAUCUUCCUGUGUAAUUUUUCAGUUUGACCCUGAAGUGACAUGAAAUAUGCUCAAAUCCUUCUUCAUGUACAAGAUCUUGAACGAUACCUUGCCUGUGCAUACCCUGUAUAGUGAGUAUAUGGUGCUACCUCAGUAAGAAGUCUGCAGUGGAGUCAGUACCUGAAGAAUUGGGGCCUACUAUCACUCUUCCAUACUGGUCUUACAGAUUCUUUGGGCAGUUAAACAACAGUUUAAGAAGAUCUUAGCUCCAAGGCUCUCUGAAUGCUGUACAGACAUUAGCAAGCCUUGAUGAUGCUCCUUUAAGGCUGCCUGAAAUUGCAGCAAAACCUGCUAUUGGCUGCUGGAUUGAAUUCUAAAUACCACAUGCAAAUUUUGUGAUUGGUUCCAUUUGUUGCAAUGAGUGGAACUAAUUCUCUGGAUCCAAGUAUAAUUAGAUGAAUCUAGAUCAUAAGUCUGGGAAUUGCACCCAAAAAUAUGAAGUUCAUUUUCCUUUGUUCUCUCGUUUCACUGAAUAACAAUAGUAAGUAUUAGCCUUUCCUGUUCAAAAUCUAUUAAGGCCAAUGAAGCCUAUAAAGAAAAAGCAUGACAACCUAUGGGAACAGCACAUCUUUACAAGCUUGCAGAAUGAAGUAGUGGAGGAAGGUAGCUAUAUAUGCCUCAGGAACAAUGCAGACAAUUCGCUUUUUAUUUUUUCCUAAUACCCUAACCUUUGUAUUUUUACCUGUAUUUUUAUUACCUGUUUUGCCUCAUUGUGAAGAGACAAGUUUUUUUCAUGAAGAGGUGAUGCAGGUCAGUCUCGGAAUGACUCUGGGAUCAAUGCUUCUACUCUAGUGUUUAAAGUCUGAAGACUUCCUAAUGUCUGCAUUGAGUCUGGUUUUGUUUUUCUUCAUCCUGCGAGAUCUCGCCUGCUAGCAAGCCAGCAGAAAUGAGAGAACAACACUGUCUCUUUAGUAUGGAAGAACACGCAACUGUUUCAGAAAGCAUUGCUGUUUCAGCAUCAGUCUGAAAGUUUGACUAUCCUAGAGCUUUUAGGUUCUGCUCUGCUAAAAUAAAAACCUGAGCUCACGAGUGACCCUGU